CCCUUAGAUGUUCGGGGCCGCACGCGCGCUACACUGAAGGACUCAGCGUGUCUCUCCCCCUAUCCCGAAAGGGAUGGGCAACCCGUUGAACCACCUUCGUGCUAGGGAUUGGGGUUUGCAAUUAUCCCCCAUGAACGAGGAAUUCCCAGUAAGCGCGAGUCAUCAGCUCGCGUUGAUUACGUCCCUGCCCUUUGUACACACCGCCCGUCGCUACUACCGAUUGGAUGGUUUAGUGAGACCCUCGGAUCGGUCCCGACUCGGGGUGGGCUUCUGCCCCGGUCGUGGUUUCGCCGAGAAGACAGUCAAACUUGACUAUCUAGAGGAAGUAAAAGUCGUAACA
This 340-nucleotide ribosomal RNA is filed under the name uncultured eukaryote. Its description in RNAcentral is "partial 18S ribosomal RNA". It matches the Rfam family "Eukaryotic small subunit ribosomal RNA", at positions 1470 to 1796 of the family's 1831-position model. The record is from RNAcentral.